Molecule: long non-coding RNA, 2135 nt
Organism: Solea senegalensis (Senegalese sole)
Lineage: Eukaryota; Metazoa; Chordata; Actinopteri; Pleuronectiformes; Soleidae
Exons: 4
Source: RefSeq, a predicted model, not a curated record
CCCCAUUAUAUCUUCAUGAGGUCUACUCUGUCGCCUGGAACACAAACACCAUAAGAAGGGGUCAGGAGUUAGCAAACCUGGAGAACUAACCUCAUGUCACAAUUAAUGAGGGCCCAACCACCAUGGAACUUCUCGUCAUCUGGCAGCAAAAGCUGCAUGUAUGUCUGGAGCAGGAGGCUAACCUGCUCCUGGGCUCCUCUUUGGCUUUCUUUCUCCUUCUCCUCAUGCUCCUUCUCUUUACUGAAGAUGGAGUAGAGGUCCUCAGUGACGGGCAGGCCCAUCAUUAGGUCUGCAUAGAAGGGCAAAUGAUUUGGGGAAUAAACGGAAUGAUUAUAGGACAACCUUGUAUAUGUAAUAUAGCCAUUAUAUUUGGUUAGUUUUUCCAUACCAAUGACUGCUUGUCUGUAAGCGUCCCUAAAACGGUUCAGAUAGUAGCGGUUGGCCGAGUUCACACCAUCCUUCAUCACACCAGCCAGUUUCCGUUCCCCUGUCCUAGUGAAAUCUCCCUGAAACAGAUGAGCCAGUGUCUGUUACACUUUCCCAUAUUAAUAGUGAGUCUAAUCAGUCAAAAGAUCAGUUCACAUUUGUUAAUCUCAUGUGUUGACGUUCCUGACAUACUAUAUAAUCUGAGUCACAAAGUUUGUGCUACAGAAGCUUUAACUAUCCACUUAACAAUCGACUGGGUCAAAAGAAGAUGUGUUUUAAGCAAAAGCUGAUUUAAAUGUGGGACAGUGAUGUUACCUUGAGUGCUGCUGUUCCAGCAUACUGUCUGCUAAUGGUGUCUCCAUUAUUGGCCCACAUGAUCUGAUAAAUCCUGUAGCACUUGAGAGGCAGGGGCUGCUCUGGAGGCAUCACACCCAGUUUCUUCAGCUGCAUGAAGAAGUAAAAUGUUCAGUGUGAGCUGUUUUGAAUUUCUUUUUGCAUACACUCAUGUCUGUCUUAAUUUACAAUGAGAAAGGUCAGUAUGUUGUUUCUGAAGAAAACUGCAAAGAUACAUUGGACAUUAAUGGUUAUGCUGGCGUGCACACAUGAGCAACAUUGCAAUAGUGACAUUUCUGUUCUUCUCUUUACCUGGGUCUAUUAACUCACCUGUUGUUCCAUCACUGCCCGAGCAAUAGCAGCCUGAACCACAUUGGUCCUGUCAAGACAGUCCAUACAGUUGACUCUGAAGAUUCCGUCCUGUUUGCAGAUGACUCCUGCUUGGUCCACCCUGAGAGAGGCCAAGAUGUUCUACCUGCACGGUGACGGCUACGUCUGGAGAUCAGAGCCACAGUGAAGCGAGGAUGUAUGUCAUCAACGCAGGUGACCUCCUGGGGCGGGGUCUCAGGACUGCUCCUCUCCUCAUCUGAUGUGUCAUUAUAGUUCACCACCAGUUCCUCCACUUGCACAAACCCCUGGAUAACUGGUAUCACCCAGUGGUCAACCUCUGGGACCUGGACCAGUCCAAUGUUAAAAAGAAGAACAGCCGAACAAGGAGAUUCAAAUCCUGUCUUCCAAGAAAAGCACUCUACAUCCAACCAACUAAAGCAGAUAAUCCUCAUGUAUUGUGUGCACACCUCCAGCUCAAGCUCCUGGGGUUCUUCGUCAGAGAGAGGAAUGACAGCUAUCUUGGUGAUCUUGUAGACUUUGUGGUUGCCUGGUAAAUGGCCCACCAGAGCUUUCUGGCGGAUUAAUACAAGACCGAGAGGAAGAUCUGCCAAGAUGAGAAGGAAGGAGGAGCUGAAUCAUGGGUGCAGAAUUCCUCACAUUCUGGAAGGUGUGAAGAAAGCAGCUGCACACACACCAUUAUAGAUUUUUUUUUCUUUACAUAAGGCCACAUAAGGCCACACAAGACAUCUAGUAAAUACGUUUAAACCAUGUUAAUCCAUUUGAUUAGCAAAGGUUUUGUUCAGUUACUUGUGGGGGAUUAUUAUUUCAAACAUCCUCCCCUUGGGACUACAAAAACAAACAAAACCAGACCAUUGGCCCACUCCUGUUCAUGAAUGCACUAGUAUGCAAAUGUUUUCACAACUCUCUCUGUGAUGAAAAAAAGCAUACAAAAUAGAGGCUGAUUUGUCAAGUAAAGUGUCCAGUGAACACAGAUGGAAAUCAUUGGCAAGAAUGUGUUCAUUUAAAGGUUCGCCAUUCUCCACUUA